UCUUUCAUGAUCUUGUGAGAGGUGGUGCAUGGCCGUUCUUAGUUCGUGUAGUGAUAUGUCUGCCUAAUCGCGUCACGAUAACCUAUUGGUCGACAACCCAAUUAUCACAACUGCAGCAUAACUCCCCUUGGGUGGGCGAGGCUCUGUGUAGGAUAGACCUCUGAACAGUACGCAACGAACGCGAUCGUAAUCCCUUGUUGAGUGGCCAUCCUGUAAGCUGCUGGAUUAGGAACCCAGUGGUAUUAUCUCAGCCACAGAUUUUCUGGUUGUAAUGGGCCAGUUUUGAAACUCGGGGAACAUCUGUGACUUUCUUUCUUAACGCAGAGGAAGGUUAUGGCAAUAACAGG
This 347-nucleotide ribosomal RNA is filed under the name Globigerina bulloides. RNAcentral describes it as "bacterial SSU rRNA". It matches the Rfam family "Eukaryotic small subunit ribosomal RNA", at positions 1256 to 1460 of the family's 1831-position model. The record is from RNAcentral. Lineage: Eukaryota; Foraminifera; Rotaliida; Globigerinidae.